ACUUUGAUCUGCUCUCUCUCCUGACCAGUUGAAAGAAAUUCUGUCCUAGAACUUUCAGUCCAGAUAAGAUUCCUGUGUUCCUGGUCGACUUAUCUUCCCUAUAAUUAUGUAAAAACCAGUUUUGGUGAGGAUUGGAGAGAGAGAGAGAGAUGAGAAUGACUCCAAACCUCUGACCCUGGCAACUAGAAGAUCAGGAGACCAUGCCCUUACACUGAGAUUGGUGGUGCUGUCUAACGUGCAUGUUUUUGGACCCAAGCUUAACUUUUCAAAUGUGGAAUGCUAGGCCUUCAUUGCAACAGAUGCUCACUUCAAAGCCAGGAUUAGAACUCUUCACGCCUGGCUUGGAAUUCCAGCUCCAUCAGCUCAUUAGAUGCGCAGGCCUGGGAAAAUGCACACGCUCUCUGCAGCCUUGGUUUUCUCCUGGUGCCGGAGAAAGAAGAGUUCCACCUCCUAACACUGCGGCAAGAAUUCAGGGAGAUCGGUCCAUAGGAUGCUUUGCAGAGGUUUGGCGUGGAUUCUUUGACUCAGUGACUGUUUUAUUCAGCACCCGCUCCAAACCAGUCAGCAUUCUAG
Long non-coding RNA from Bos taurus (domestic cattle), 573 nucleotides. The record is from Ensembl. NCBI's taxonomy places the organism in Eukaryota, Metazoa, Chordata, Mammalia, Artiodactyla, Bovidae.